GACGAACGCUGGCGGCGUGCCUAAUACAUGCAAGUAGAACGCUGAAGGAGGAGCUUGCUUCUCUGGAUGAGUUGCGAAAGGGUGAGUAACGCGUAGGUAACCUGCCUGGUAGCGGGGGAUAACUAUUGGAAACGAUAGCUAAUACCGCAUAAGAGUAGAUGUUGCAUGACAUUUGCUUAAAAGGUGCAAUUGCAUCACUACCAGAUGGACCUGCGUUGUAUUAGCUAGUUGGUGGGGUAACGGCUCACCAAGGCGACGAUACAUAGCCGACCUGAGAGGGUGAUCGGCCACACUGGGACUGAGACACGGCCCAGACUCCUACGGGAGGCAGCAGUAGGGAAUCUUCGGCAAUGGACGGAAGUCUGACCGAGCAACGCCGCGUGAGUGAAGAAGGUUUUCGGAUCGUAAAGCUCUGUUGUAAGAGAAGAACGAGUGUGAGAGUGGAAAGUUCACACUGUGACGGUAUCUUACCAGAAAGGGACGGCUAACUACGUG
RNAcentral lists this ribosomal RNA (495 nucleotides) under uncultured bacterium. RNAcentral's name for it is "partial 16S ribosomal RNA". It matches the Rfam family "Bacterial small subunit ribosomal RNA", at positions 28 to 507 of the family's 1533-position model. The record is from RNAcentral.